This 440-nucleotide ribosomal RNA is filed under the name uncultured bacterium. Its description in RNAcentral is "partial 16S ribosomal RNA". It matches the Rfam family "Bacterial small subunit ribosomal RNA", at positions 338 to 795 of the family's 1533-position model. The record is from RNAcentral.
CCUACGGGAGGCUGCAGUGGGGAAUAUUGCACAAUGGGGGCAACCCUGAUGCAGCGACGCCGCGUGAGUGAAGAAGUAUUUCGGUAUGUAAAGCUCUAUCUGCAGGGAAGAAAAUGACGGUACCUGAUUAAGAAGCUCCGGCUAACUACGUGCCAGCAGCCGCGGUAAUACGUAGGGGUCAAGCGUUAUCCGGAUUUACUGGGUGUAAAGGGAGCGUAGACGGUGCAGCAAGUCUGAUGUGAAAGGUCGGGGCCCAACCGCGGGACUGCAUUGGAAACUGUUGAACUGGAGUACAGGAGAGGUAAGCGGAAUUCGUAGUGUAGCGGUGAAAUGCGUAGAUAUUAGGAGGAACACCGGUGGCGAAGGCGGCUUACUAGACUGUAACUGACGUUGAGGCUCGAAAGCGUGGGGAGCAAACAGGAUUAGAUACCCGGGUAGUC